GGGGUCGUAGCUCAGCGGUAGAGCGCUCGCCUGGCACGUGCGAGACCCUGGGUUCGAUCCUCUGCACCACCU
Molecule: non-coding RNA, 72 nt
Organism: Ictidomys tridecemlineatus (thirteen-lined ground squirrel)
Lineage: Eukaryota; Metazoa; Chordata; Mammalia; Rodentia; Sciuridae
Source: Rfam